UACGGAGGUUCCAAGCGUUGUUCGGAAUUACUGGGCGUAAAGGGAGCGCAGGCGGACAAGUCAGUCUAAAGUGAAAUUCCGGGGCUCAACCUCAGACUUGCUUCGGAUACUACUUGUCUUGAGUUCGUGAUAGGAAGACGGAAUUCAGGGUGUAGCGGUGAAAUGCACAGAUAUCCUGAGGAACACCGGUGGCGAAAGCGGUCUUCUGGCGCGAAACUGACGCUGAGGCUCGAAAGCGUGGGUAGCAAACGGGAUUAGAUACCCCUGUAGUCCCU
This 275-nucleotide ribosomal RNA is filed under the name uncultured prokaryote. Its description in RNAcentral is "partial 16S ribosomal RNA". It matches the Rfam family "Bacterial small subunit ribosomal RNA", at positions 524 to 798 of the family's 1533-position model. The record is from RNAcentral.